GUCCUUGUCGAUUAGGGGUUAAAUCACCACGUUGUGGUAAUCUCAAACCGUGGAGCCGGAGGUUCGAUUCCUCCCUGGGACA
This 82-nucleotide transfer RNA is filed under the name Fibroporia radiculosa. It matches the Rfam family "tRNA". From Rfam's summary of the family: Transfer RNA (tRNA) molecules are approximately 80 nucleotides in length. Lineage: Eukaryota; Fungi; Basidiomycota; Agaricomycetes; Polyporales; Fibroporiaceae. The record is from Rfam by way of RNAcentral.